UACAGAGGUCUCAAGCGUUGUUCGGAUUCAUUGGGCGUAAAGGGUAGGUAGGUGGUCUCAUUUGUCUGGGGUGAAAGCCUUGAGCUUAACUCAAGAAGUGCCCCAGAAACGGUGAGACUGGAGUCUUGGAGAGGGUCGUGGAAUUCCCGGUGUAGCGGUGAAAUGCGUAGAGAUCGGGAGGAACACCGGUGGCGAAGGCGGUGGUCUGGGCCGGCACUGACGCUGAGGAGCGAAAGCGUGGGGAGCAAACAGG
This 253-nucleotide ribosomal RNA is filed under the name uncultured bacterium. RNAcentral describes it as "partial 16S ribosomal RNA". It matches the Rfam family "Bacterial small subunit ribosomal RNA", at positions 524 to 776 of the family's 1533-position model. The record is from RNAcentral.